GUGCCAGCAGCCGCGGUAAUACGGGGGGUGCAAGCGUUGUUCGGAAUUAUUGGGCGUAAAGCGCGUGUAGGCGGUCUGAUUAGUCUGAUGUGCAAGCCCUGGGCUCAACCCAGGAAGUGCAUUGGAUACUGUCAGACUUGAAUACGGGAGAGGGUAGUGGAAUUCCUAGUGUAGGAGUGAAAUCCGUAGAUAUUAGGAGGAACACCGGUGGCGAAGGCGGCUACCUGGACCGAUAUUGACGCUGAGACGCGAAAGCGUGGGUAGCAAACAGGAUUAGAUACCCUGGUAGUCCACGCCGUAAACGAUGAGUACUAGGUGUUGCGGGUAUUGACCCCUGCAGUGCCGCAGCUAACGCAUUAAGUACUCCGCCUGGGAAGUACGGUCGCAAGACUAAAACUCAAAUGAAUUGACGGG
Molecule: ribosomal RNA, 414 nt
Filed under: uncultured Desulfuromonadaceae bacterium
Lineage: Bacteria; Pseudomonadati; Thermodesulfobacteriota; Desulfuromonadia; Desulfuromonadales; Desulfuromonadaceae
Description: bacterial SSU rRNA
Rfam family: Bacterial small subunit ribosomal RNA
Source: RNAcentral